Gallus gallus (chicken) is the source of this 2670-nucleotide long non-coding RNA. NCBI's taxonomy places the organism in Eukaryota, Metazoa, Chordata, Aves, Galliformes, Phasianidae. The record is from Ensembl.
CUUGAAUUAAAUGAACAUUAAAAUUUUGAAAUAUUAUAGAUGAAAUUGGAUAGGCAUCCUAUGUAUGGAAAAGAAAAAUAAAUGAAAAAAAAAACAAAAAACCACAUUCUUUUGGGAACAGUAGAAUUGAUUAUUAGGUUGUUAGAGAUAUCUCUACUGACCGUUCUUGUUAAGGAACAAGAUGGUAAGUAAAUUCUUAAGAAAGAACACCUGAAGAAGAAUGACUUAAUUGAACAUGCACCUUCCACAUCUGUCAGGAUGAGUUUGUGAUGCUCUUCCAUUUUCCAGUAGCAUCCAGGGAAGGAGGCACAUGGGAAAAGGAAAGUUAAGGUGAUCUGGUCCACACAGGUUGCAUUUCUUCCCCUGCUCAGAAUCUGUGCAAAGUCUCUGGCUCCAGUUCAUCAGUAGCAACAGAGAACUGUUUAACUCAACAAACCUGUCGUGGGAUUUUAUGUUCUUUUGGGCUUUGCAUGAAAGACAAUCCUUGUUUUAGAAAACCACUUCUUUUGUCCUUCAGAAAUCAAUACUAAUUUGAAUAAAUAGUAAGAACUGGUGACACAGGGAAGACAAAAAAAAAAAAAAAAAAGAAACUACCACCACAAAUAAAAGGCUCAGCAGAUGUAAAUCAGCAUGAGUCUAUUGACUUCAGAGGAGCUACACUAGUGUAGACAAACUGAGGUUAUCGACUCCAUUACUGCUGGAGAUGUGACAUUCUCUUUGGGAGGAGUUUUAUCUGUGGCAAUUUAUUUUAUUACCUUUUCCAUGCUUAGCCUGUACUUUCCUGACAUUACUUCAUCAUCUUCUGUGUAAUGAUCAAGCUUUUUCUCUUUUAGAUGCUGAAGUUAAGCACCAUGCCACUUUAACUGUGGUUUGGGCUGGAGAAGAGGCCGUUGGCAUCGUGUAACUCUUCAGUGAUGUUUGUACAUUAAAAGAAAAUCGAAGAAACUAGGACGAUUUGGUUAAAAAAGAAGUGAGAAGCUGCUGUGAACUGGAAUUUUGCGAGCUCAGAAGAUGUUGUGGAUAUUUUCCUCAUUUUCUGCGGAUGAGACUUUUCCACUGAUGGUUCUGCAAAGUUCCAUGCAUGAACACUGUACCAAUAUUAAUGCUCUAAAACUAUUGUAAUAGUGUUGUGUUCUGACACAUUCUAUUGUGUUUAGGAAAAAAGUAUUCGCCCAUUAAAAACCAUCCCACAAACGGCAUUUGAUAAUAUGUAUGAACAAAUAUAAAUAAUACGUAAUGAAACAUCACAUUUACCUGAUGAACAGCAUACAAAGAUGUAUCCUAAUGUCACAUCUAGAUCUAUUUUUGGUGAACUGGAAACAGUGAGGUUGCUCAAAGGGCACAUUUCAGCACUAAAUCAGAAAGUAUUUUAUUGUUUACUGUCUAACAUUACUGAUACUUGCGUGUGCUAGAAGCAUGAAGUGCUUGUAAUGGAGGCAAUAAUAAUAAUAAUAAACAGCUCUACUCCUGAGAUAUUUUCCUAGUUGUUACUUCAGCAGAGGCCAAGAGAGGAGAGAGAAGGAGCAGGAAGAUAAAAGGGAGGGAAAUGCUGUGGAGAGGAAGUAGCUCUGAUUUGUGGGACUUACAGAACUGCCCUAAAAGGAAAGCUCUGAAAAUUUCAAAUGUGAUGCCAAAUUCUUUUCUGGUGCUGUUCCACCACCAUCAGAAAGAGCAUCUGUGUAAUAUUAUGUACCAGGAAAACAGGGAGCUUAUUUUUUCACAGAGAAAAACAUGAAAAGAUCCUAACAUUGCACUAUUAAGCCUUAUUACUUCAGAGCCAUAAUCUGUUUUUUAUAAUGCUUUAAAAGAAAAAGACUACUAUGCAAAUGUCCUGCACAGCAUGGGUAUGUACAGCCAUGGAUGCCACUGCAUGAAAACUGUCCUUCGCAUGCAUCUCCUGGGCCAGCAAAAUGUGGGCAGCGUAUGUUGGAGCUGUGCUCACCAGGAUGGAGCUGUUGCUUCCCAUGGACCUGCACCUCCUGUGGACCUUGGCAGCAGCUUCAUCCCUUAGUCUUGUUAGUAUGACCUCCCUUCCCAGCUCACUUGCUGAUAGGUCACCCCAGAUCCCAGCAAGGAGACUCCAUCCAUCAAAGACUCCCAAGUGUGAAGAUCAUUGAUUGUGAGCUGAAAAUUGAGAAAGGGAUUCAACUGGUAACCUUUGCCUUGAAUAGAUACGUGGUUUGUCAUCAUGCUGUGGGUUGUGCUGUUGGAAGCAGCUAGACAUCACAGAGAUUGAUAAAUGGCAGAUAUGGUGGAAAUAGUUGGUAUCUUGUGUUAUCAAAAAGAUGCAAGAUGUAAAUUAUACUGAACAGAAAUCCUGACAGAAAAAAAUCUGUAUUCCAACUGUGAUUUUGAAGACAUUCAUAUAGAGUUAAUUACAGAAACAGGUCCCUACUUGGAGUGAAUCAGAAAAUCCCUUUACAAAGGAGACAUAGCUUUUCCAGACUUUCUUAAUUUUAAAGAACAAAGAGUUGGGUUUCUCAGGACUUUCCUGAAAGGUUGCAGACAACAAAGUUGCAGUGAAUUACUGUGAAGUCAAAACUGUUGAAUUGCCCACAUGCCUGCCUCAGGCCCUGUAGUUUGCUUCACUUGUUCAUGCUGUUGAAUAAAGACUGCUGCUUGCAAAAUGUACUGUUAUUAACCCUGUUUCUCCCUGUUGUGAACCUUCCU